Molecule: ribosomal RNA, 2807 nt
Filed under: Escherichia coli K-12
Lineage: Bacteria; Pseudomonadati; Pseudomonadota; Gammaproteobacteria; Enterobacterales; Enterobacteriaceae
Description: 23S ribosomal RNA from Escherichia coli K-12 (PDB 7OJ0, chain a)
Rfam family: Bacterial large subunit ribosomal RNA
Source: RNAcentral
GGUUAAGCGACUAAGCGUACACGGUGGAUGCCCUGGCAGUCAGAGGCGAUGAAGGACGUGCUAAUCUGCGAUAAGCGUCGGUAAGGUGAUAUGAACCGUUAUAACCGGCGAUUUCCGAAUGGGGAAACCCAGUGUGUUUCGACACACUAUCAUUAACUGAAUCCAUAGGUUAAUGAGGCGAACCGGGGGAACUGAAACAUCUAAGUACCCCGAGGAAAAGAAAUCAACCGAGAUUCCCCCAGUAGCGGCGAGCGAACGGGGAGCAGCCCAGAGCCUGAAUCAGUGUGUGUGUUAGUGGAAGCGUCUGGAAAGGCGCGCGAUACAGGGUGACAGCCCCGUACACAAAAAUGCACAUGCUGUGAGCUCGAUGAGUAGGGCGGGACACGUGGUAUCCUGUCUGAAUAUGGGGGGACCAUCCUCCAAGGCUAAAUACUCCUGACUGACCGAUAGUGAACCAGUACCGUGAGGGAAAGGCGAAAAGAACCCCGGCGAGGGGAGUGAAAAAGAACCUGAAACCGUGUACGUACAAGCAGUGGGAGCACGCUUAGGCGUGUGACUGCGUACCUUUUGUAUAAUGGGUCAGCGACUUAUAUUCUGUAGCAAGGUUAACCGAAUAGGGGAGCCGAAGGGAAACCGAGUCUUAACUGGGCGUUAAGUUGCAGGGUAUAGACCCGAAACCCGGUGAUCUAGCCAUGGGCAGGUUGAAGGUUGGGUAACACUAACUGGAGGACCGAACCGACUAAUGUUGAAAAAUUAGCGGAUGACUUGUGGCUGGGGGUGAAAGGCCAAUCAAACCGGGAGAUAGCUGGUUCUCCCCGAAAGCUAUUUAGGUAGCGCCUCGUGAAUUCAUCUCCGGGGGUAGAGCACUGUUUCGGCAAGGGGGUCAUCCCGACUUACCAACCCGAUGCAAACUGCGAAUACCGGAGAAUGUUAUCACGGGAGACACACGGCGGGUGCUAACGUCCGUCGUGAAGAGGGAAACAACCCAGACCGCCAGCUAAGGUCCCAAAGUCAUGGUUAAGUGGGAAACGAUGUGGGAAGGCCCAGACAGCCAGGAUGUUGGCUUAGAAGCAGCCAUCAUUUAAAGAAAGCGUAAUAGCUCACUGGUCGAGUCGGCCUGCGCGGAAGAUGUAACGGGGCUAAACCAUGCACCGAAGCUGCGGCAGCGACGCGCGUUGUUGGGUAGGGGAGCGUUCUGUAAGCCUGCGAAGGUGUGCUGUGAGGCAUGCUGGAGGUAUCAGAAGUGCGAAUGCUGACAUAAGUAACGAUAAAGCGGGUGAAAAGCCCGCUCGCCGGAAGACCAAGGGUUCCUGUCCAACGUUAAUCGGGGCAGGGUGAGUCGACCCCUAAGGCGAGGCCGAAAGGCGUAGUCGAUGGGAAACAGGUUAAUAUUCCUGUACUUGGUGUUACUGCGAAGGGGGGACGGAGAAGGCUAUGUUGGCCGGGCGACGGUUGUCCCGGUUUAAGCGUGUAGGCUGGUUUUCCAGGCAAAUCCGGAAAAUCAAGGCUGAGGCGUGAUGACGAGGCACUACGGUGCUGAAGCAACAAAUGCCCUGCUUCCAGGAAAAGCCUCUAAGCAUCAGGUAACAUCAAAUCGUACCCCAAACCGACACAGGUGGUCAGGUAGAGAAUACCAAGGCGCUUGAGAGAACUCGGGUGAAGGAACUAGGCAAAAUGGUGCCGUAACUUCGGGAGAAGGCACGCUGAUAUGUAGGUGAGGUCCCUCGCGGAUGGAGCUGAAAUCAGUCGAAGAUACCAGCUGGCUGCAACUGUUUAUUAAAAACACAGCACUGUGCAAACACGAAAGUGGACGUAUACGGUGUGACGCCUGCCCGGUGCCGGAAGGUUAAUUGAUGGGGUUAGCGCAAGCGAAGCUCUUGAUCGAAGCCCCGGUAAACGGCGGCCGUAACUAUAACGGUCCUAAGGUAGCGAAAUUCCUUGUCGGGUAAGUUCCGACCUGCACGAAUGGCGUAAUGAUGGCCAGGCUGUCUCCACCCGAGACUCAGUGAAAUUGAACUCGCUGUGAAGAUGCAGUGUACCCGCGGCAAGACGGAAAGACCCCGUGAACCUUUACUAUAGCUUGACACUGAACAUAUGUUCUAACGUUGACCCGUAAUCCGGGUUGCGGACAGUGUCUGGUGGGUAGUUUGACUGGGGCGGUCUCCUCCUAAAGAGUAACGGAGGAGCACGAAGGUUGGCUAAUCCUGGUCGGACAUCAGGAGGUUAGUGCAAUGGCAUAAGCCAGCUUGACUGCGAGCGUGACGGCGCGAGCAGGUGCGAAAGCAGGUCAUAGUGAUCCGGUGGUUCUGAAUGGAAGGGCCAUCGCUCAACGGAUAAAAGGUACUCCGGGGAUAACAGGCUGAUACCGCCCAAGAGUUCAUAUCGACGGCGGUGUUUGGCACCUCGAUGUCGGCUCAUCACAUCCUGGGGCUGAAGUAGGUCCCAAGGGUAUGGCUGUUCGCCAUUUAAAGUGGUACGCGAGCUGGGUUUAGAACGUCGUGAGACAGUUCGGUCCCUAUCUGCCGUGGGCGCUGGAGAACUGAGGGGGGCUGCUCCUAGUACGAGAGGACCGGAGUGGACGCAUCACUGGUGUUCGGGUUGUCAUGCCAAUGGCACUGCCCGGUAGCUAAAUGCGGAAGAGAUAAGUGCUGAAAGCAUCUAAGCACGAAACUUGCCCCGAGAUGAGUUCUCCCUGACCCUUUAAGGGUCCUGAAGGAACGUUGAAGACGACGACGUUGAUAGGCCGGGUGUGUAAGCGCAGCGAUGCGUUGAGCUAACCGGUACUAAUGAACCGUGAGGCUUAACCU